AACGAACGCUGGCGGCAGGCCUAACACAUGCAAGUCGAGCGAGAUCUUCGGGUCUAGCGGCGGACGGGUGAGUAACGCGUGGGAAUAUGCCCUUCUCUGCGGAAUAGCCUCGGGAAACUGAGCGUAAUACCGCAUACGCCCUUUGGGGGAAAGAUUUAUCGGAGAAGGAUUAGCCUGCGUUGGAUUAGGUAGUUGGUGGGGUAACGGCCUACCAAGCCGACGAUCCAUAGCUGGUUUGAGAGGAUGAUCAGCCACACUGGGACUGAGACACGGCCCAGACUCCUACGGGAGGCAGCAGUGGGGAAUCUUAGACAAUGGGGGCAACCCUGAUCUAGCCAUGCCGCGUGAGUGAUGAAGGCCUUAGGGUUGUAAAGCUCUUUCAGCUGGGAAGAUAAUGACGGUACCAGCAGAAGAAGCCCCGGCUAACUCCGUG
RNAcentral lists this ribosomal RNA (433 nucleotides) under uncultured bacterium. RNAcentral's name for it is "partial 16S ribosomal RNA". It matches the Rfam family "Bacterial small subunit ribosomal RNA", at positions 29 to 507 of the family's 1533-position model. The record is from RNAcentral.